UAGGAGGUGGUGUAGCGGAAGCACUAGGAGUUUUGAUCUCUUGAGCAUGGGUUCGAUUCCCUUUCUCCUAA
Molecule: transfer RNA, 71 nt
Filed under: Echidna polyzona
Lineage: Eukaryota; Metazoa; Chordata; Actinopteri; Anguilliformes; Muraenidae
Description: tRNA-Gln
Rfam family: tRNA
About the family: Transfer RNA (tRNA) molecules are approximately 80 nucleotides in length. Their secondary structure includes four short double-helical elements and three loops (D, anti-codon, and T loops).
Source: RNAcentral